RNAcentral lists this long non-coding RNA (463 nucleotides) under Mytilus galloprovincialis (Mediterranean mussel). Lineage: Eukaryota; Metazoa; Mollusca; Bivalvia; Mytilida; Mytilidae. The record is from RNAcentral.
GUGGUCUUUAACACAGGUGUUUGCUUCAUACAGGUGGUCUCUUUUGCAGGUUUGUAAAUAUAACGGAAUUUGAUGAGCCUGUCGUACAAGUGAGAGGUAUAGCGCUAUAAAACCAAGUUCAAUCCACCAUUUUCUACAUUUGAAAAUGCCUGUACCAAGUAAGGAAUAUGAUAGUUGUUGUCCAUUCGUUUUUUAUGUGUUUUGUCAUUUUAUUUUGCCAUGUGAUUAGGGACUUUCCGAUUGAAUUUUUCCCGGAGUUCAAUAUUUUUGUGAUUUAACUUUUGACUAUAUUUCUCUUUCGUAAAUUUAUUUUAAGCUCAACUGGCCCACUAGACGUCCGUUGAAUGUAGUUGUCCGUUUAUUUUGUACACACAAAUUAUCCACUAAAACUUCUGUGUCAAGUCACCAGCUCAGUAGUCAACACUUCGGUGUUGACAUGAAUAGCAAUAAUAUGGUAAUUUUU